GCACCCAUGGCUCAGAUGGUUACAGUGCAGUUUUGAAAAUUUUCAACGCGGGUUCGAACCCCACUGGGGCU
This is a non-coding RNA of Caenorhabditis brenneri, 71 nucleotides long. NCBI's taxonomy places the organism in Eukaryota, Metazoa, Nematoda, Chromadorea, Rhabditida, Rhabditidae. The record is from the annotation of a GenBank genome assembly.